CCACGGGCGGCUGCAGUGGGGAAUAUUGGACAAUGGGGGCAACCCUGAUCCAGCCAUGCCGCGUGUGUGAAGAAGGCCCUCGGGUUGUAAAGCACUUUCAGUGAGGAAGAACGCCUGGUGGUUAAUACCCAUCAGGAAAGACAUCACUCACAGAAGAAGCACCGGCUAACUCCGUGCCAGCAGCCGCGGUAAUACGGAGGGUGCGAGCGUUAAUCGGAAUUACUGGGCGUAAAGCGAGCGUAGGUGGCUUGAUAAGCCGGUUGUGAAAGCCCCGGGCUCAACCUGGGAACGGCAUCCGGAACUGUCAAGCUAGAGUGCAGGAGAGGAAGGUAGAAUUCCCGGUGUAGCGGUGAAAUGCGUAGAGAUCGGGAGGAAUACCAGUGGCGAAGGCGGCCUUCUGGACUGACACUGACACUGAGGUGCGAAAGCGUGGGUAGCAAACAGGAUUAGAUACCCUGGUAGUC
Molecule: ribosomal RNA, 464 nt
Filed under: Vreelandella stevensii
Lineage: Bacteria; Pseudomonadati; Pseudomonadota; Gammaproteobacteria; Oceanospirillales; Halomonadaceae
Description: partial 16S ribosomal RNA
Rfam family: Bacterial small subunit ribosomal RNA
Source: RNAcentral